Transfer RNA from Toxocara canis (dog roundworm), 72 nucleotides. It matches the Rfam family "tRNA". From Rfam's summary of the family: Transfer RNA (tRNA) molecules are approximately 80 nucleotides in length. Their secondary structure includes four short double-helical elements and three loops (D, anti-codon, and T loops). Further hydrogen bonds mediate the characteristic L-shaped molecular structure. tRNAs have two regions of fundamental functional importance: the anti-codon, which is responsible for specific mRNA codon recognition, and the 3' end, to which the tRNAs corresponding amino acid is attached (by aminoacyl-tRNA synthetases). tRNAs cope with the degeneracy of the genetic code in two manners: having more than one tRNA (with a specific anti-codon) for a particular amino acid; and 'wobble' base-pairing, i.e. permitting non-standard base-pairing at the 3rd anti-codon position. The record is from Rfam. Lineage: Eukaryota; Metazoa; Nematoda; Chromadorea; Rhabditida; Toxocaridae.
GGGGUAGCAGCUCAGUGGUAGCGCUCCCGGUUCGUAUGCGGGAAGACCUGGGAUCGAUUCCCGGCUGCUUCC